RNAcentral lists this transfer RNA (66 nucleotides) under Cochlostyla marinduquensis. RNAcentral describes it as "tRNA-Ile". The record is from RNAcentral. Lineage: Eukaryota; Metazoa; Mollusca; Gastropoda; Stylommatophora; Camaenidae.
AUGAGAUCACUGUUAGACAGGUAUUGUUGAUGUCAAUAUUAUAGAAAUAAAUAAUUCUAUCUCAUU